GUAGUCAUAUGCUUGUCUCAAAGAUUAAGCCAUGCAUGUCUAAGUAUAAGCAAUUAUACCGUGAAACUGCGAAUGGCUCAUUAAAUCAGUUAUCGUUUAUUUGAUAGUACCUUACUACUUGGAUAACCGUGGUAAUUCUAGAGCUAAUACAUGCUAAAAACCCCGACUUCGGGAGGGGUGUAUUUAUUAGAUAAAAAACCAAUGCCCUUCGGGGCUCUUUGGUGAUUCAUGAUAACUUAACGGAUCGCAUGGCCUUGUGCCGGCGACGGUUCAUUCAAAUUUCUGCCCUAUCAACUUUCGAUGGUAAGGUAUUGGCUUACCAUGGUUUCAACGGGUAACGGGGAAU
RNAcentral lists this ribosomal RNA (346 nucleotides) under Lepidosphaeria nicotiae. RNAcentral's name for it is "SSU rRNA". It matches the Rfam family "Eukaryotic small subunit ribosomal RNA", at positions 20 to 370 of the family's 1831-position model. Lineage: Eukaryota; Fungi; Ascomycota; Dothideomycetes; Pleosporales; Testudinaceae. The record is from RNAcentral.